AUUGAACGCUGGCGGCAUGCCUUACACAUGCAAGUCGAACGGUAACAGGUCUUCGGAUGCUGACGAGUGGCGAACGGGUGAGUAAUACAUCGGAACGUGCCUAGUAGUGGGGGAUAACUACUCGAAAGAGUGGCUAAUACCGCAUGAGAUCUACGGAUGAAAGCAGGGGAUCGCAAGACCUUGUGCUACUAGAGCGGCAGGUGGCAGAUUAGGUAGUUGGUGGGAUAAAAGCUUACAAAGCCGACGAUCUGUAGCUGGUCUGAGAGCACGAUCAGCCACACUGGGACUGGGACACGGCCCAGACUCCUACGGGAGGCAGCAGUGGGGAAUUUUGGACAAUGGGCGAAAGCCUGAUCCAGCAAUGCCGCGUGCAGGAUGAAGGCCUUCGGGUUGUAAACUGCUUUUGUACGGAACGAAAAGCCCCGGGUUAAUACCCUGGGGUCAUGACGGUACCGUAAGAAUAAGCACCGGCUAACUACGUGCCAGCCGCCGCCGUAA
Molecule: ribosomal RNA, 498 nt
Filed under: uncultured bacterium
Lineage: Bacteria
Description: partial 16S ribosomal RNA
Rfam family: Bacterial small subunit ribosomal RNA
Source: RNAcentral